AUUGAACGCUGGCGGCAGGCCUAACACAUGCAAGUCGAACGAGUGGCGGACGGGUGAGUAAUGUCUGGGAAACUGCCUGAUGGAGGGGGAUAACGACGGGAAACUGUCGCUAAUACCGCGUACCAUAGGAUGAGCCAAAGUGGGAUUAGGUAGUUGGUGGGGGAAUGGCCUACCAAGCCGACGAUCUCUAGCUGGUCUGAGAGGAUGACCAGCCACACCGGGACUGAGACACGGCCCGGACUCCUACGGGAGGCAGCAGUGAGGAAUAUUGGUCAAUGGGCGAGAGCCUGAACCAGCCAAGUAGCGUGCAGGAUGACGGCCUAUGGGUUGUAAUCUGCUUUUUAUGGGGAUAAGGUACCAUACGAAUAAGGACCGGCUAAUUCCGUGCCAGCAGCCGCGGUAAUUC
This 406-nucleotide ribosomal RNA is filed under the name uncultured bacterium. RNAcentral describes it as "partial 16S ribosomal RNA". It matches the Rfam family "Bacterial small subunit ribosomal RNA", at positions 30 to 526 of the family's 1533-position model. The record is from RNAcentral.